This 1467-nucleotide long non-coding RNA is filed under the name Marmota monax (woodchuck). The stretch from base 1392 to 1460 matches the Rfam family "tRNA". The record is from RNAcentral. Lineage: Eukaryota; Metazoa; Chordata; Mammalia; Rodentia; Sciuridae.
CAGCCGGGGAAGAAACUGUUUCCCUGCCCAUCCCCCACAGGAUCCGCUCCAGGGCCGCCUGCCCAGCAACCCAGGGACUGAGCCAGGGGCUGGAGCCCAGCUAGCCUCCCCAGAUCAGGCAGCCCCCAAGUUACAAUUCUUCACUGUUCGUGGGAGCCCCUGCCUAAGGCUGGCUGACUAGCUGAUUCAUGCCACGCACUGGGGGGCCCUCCGAGCGGGGCCCUGCCGGGCUCUGCAGAGCCGCCACGAGCAAGGAGGGCGCUUGCCCGGACGGGAGCCGGUGGCCGAGCGGGCAGGCUUUACAGUCAUGUACAGCGUCUUAAGAUACUGGGUUGAUGGCCCGCGAUCACGGCUACUGGGGAGACUGAAGCAGAGGCCAGCCUGGACAACUUAGCAAGACGCCCCCCACACACACCCUUUUUUUGCCGGCUCAAAAAAAAAGGUAUUUGUCCUGGGGAAGAAACCAGCCAGCCAGUAUAGAAACGUCUGAAGCAAAGCUCUCCCUAGGAGGCAGCACCUUGCCUGAAACCCACGGGAUGAGAGGGCCAAGAGGGGAGAGCUGCCCAAGCAGAGACCGCCCGCAGAGAGCUCACCGCGCAUUCCAGCUGGCCGCGGGUCACAGCCAAGGUUGGAAAGACCAAAAAGAGGUGACAUGGGGCUCCUCGGCCUAUCUAAGAAUGCAAUUUUGCCUCAGCCUCCUCCAUUUCGUUCCUCUUUCAGCCCAUGUAUACGAAGCACCAACCCUUUUCCCUUUCUCAGCAAUGGAAUGUCGCAGGGAGCAACUCCCUGGGGUCUAAUUCUAGAAUCAAAUAUAUCAUCAGACUGUGUUAAUGUGUUGGGUGGCCAGCCAUGAGUAGGCCCGUCAGGGAGCAUGAUGGGGAGGUAACUUACAGGGAGGACGGCACACACACAAGGCACAGGACUGGGGAUUGAGAGGGAACUUUAUCAAAGCAGACAAACAUCUGGAAAAUGGGAACGGGUAUGCCAACCCCCCCCCCAGUAAUAGUUAAUUAUAACCCCUUAAGGAAACUAUUGUUCCAAGACCCCCAAAGUAAGUCAUAGUUCUCUCUUGUAACCAGGUCAUCAGGACCCUCACAAAGAAAAUUGGCUGAGAACUACACAAAAUAAGAGGAUAAUAAUAAACCAUUUAUCAAUCAAAAACGGGAGAGGUAUGAAAAAUGAGUCAAGAACAAAGGGACCCAAACCCUGGAAGAUGGAUAGAUGCGCUAUCUUUCACCUUUAAUAUUAAAUUCCUGCUUAUUACUCCGUGACUUGCUUGAAAUCCUUCCUGCUGGUGGGCAAGGACUAAUUGCUGUGGACCCCACAUUUGCUUCAGCUGCAUGCAACCCCUCUACAACAAAGGCAUUGAAAGAAACAUACAAGGUGGGGCUGGGACUGUGGCUCAGUGGCAGAGCACUUGCCUCAUACAUAUGAGGCACUGGGUUAGAGCCUCAGCACCACAUGAAA